Molecule: long non-coding RNA, 2434 nt
Organism: Ictalurus punctatus (channel catfish)
Lineage: Eukaryota; Metazoa; Chordata; Actinopteri; Siluriformes; Ictaluridae
Source: Ensembl
UGUGUGUGCGCGCGCUUUAGGGCCAUACAGCUCAUCAGUAUAAUCAGUUCGAUUGUUCCGUUUUGUUAGAUGUUUCUGUUUACACACGCUGUAUAACGAGUUUGAAGGGUUGAGGUCGACGUCUUGGGUAAGUUGAUGUGUGCGUAGUCAGUUCUAGGGGUGGGCGAUAUGAUUGUAUCGCAAUAAAUCUGUGUCCUGAUACAAUUUUCUUUGGACAGUUGAUAACGCAGCGAUCGCACUCGGGUGGGAACCGAAACAUGCAUCAGAUUUCUUUCUUUCUUUCUUUCUUUAUUGCUGUUUAUUUUUAUUAUAAUGACUGGACGUAUGAGUCAUUCAUUAGCAAGCCUUGAUUGGCCAGUGAAAAAUUCCAGUGUUUUGCCUGGAAACCUAAUUGACCAGGUUAAAAAGUGACCGCUUAAGUAAUGUAAUAAAGUACGCCGAGCUAAUUAAGUGCAUUUAAUAAAGACUAAGAGAAACGAGCGACGUUUUCUAGUGAGACUCGUUGUAACCUCCUGAUAAAGAUUUCAACCUUAAGAGCCUCGUGACAAAGUCAGCAAGGAUGGGGUCUUCAUUUCCCCUCGAUGCGGUUAUCUGUACUAAGCGGGACAGAUAAACGGCAGCUUUAUGUCAUGAUUUUAUAAUAUCAUUUUUUUCCCCGCAUGUCCAGAGGUUUUGUAUGCAUCAUCACGAACGUAGCCUCUAAAUGAGGCAAGACUCCAGUAAACUACACUCAGCUUGCGGCCAUGCACACCACGUACGCUGAGAAGGGUUUACGCAUCUUGGGCUUCCCAUGUAACCAGUUUGGAAAACAGGUACGUUUCACAACAGCACCACGCUUAAUGAAAGCUCAGGCAUUUAAAGACCUUGUUUGUUCAAUCUUAUUUUUGUACCACCCUUUAGAGGCUACAUAAGAUAUUUACAGUACAUAUUUCCCAGAAGACCAAAGAAUAACAAUUUACACCGAUCGUCCUGUUCAAAAGUUAUCUCAAUGUAUCGUGUUGCCUUCUUGAGCAUCAGUGAAUGUUUGCACCUUUUUUUAAUAGUUGUGUGUGAGUGAUAGAAAAGGGUCAGAUAUGCAGAGGAUGCUGGAAAAGCACAGACUGUGCGGGACCUGGAGGAUUAUUCUGAAGAACAGUGGGCGGUUUCACUGCUCAGGACAAACAAGGGACAUGAACAACUCUCACAAAACAUAAACACAGUCGUUUUUCUGUUUGGUGAGCAGUAAGAGACUUCGUGACACGCUGUUGUUAGACAGUUCUCAACUUGGCUUCACGUGGUGGUGUGACGUCGUUGAUUCUGUUCCUUAAUAAGCACCGUCUCCAUGCCGAACCUCAGCCUAAUCAGUAAAUCCUAGCAGUAUUUUCUAGUGCAUGCCAGAACACUAACUUCACAUUAACAGUUGUGAAUGAAACGGAUUUAUUUGGCGCUCUCUCUCCGUAGGAGCCUGGUACCGAAGCUGAGAUUAAGGAGUUUGCGAAAGGUUACAAUGCAGAAUUUGACCUCUUCAGUAAGAUCGAUGUGAACGGAGACAACGCUCAUCCUCUCUGGAAGUGGAUGAAAGAUCAGCCGAAUGGAAAAGGCACUCUGGGAAACAACAUCAAGUGGAAUUUUACCAAGUUUCUCAUUGACCGAGAGGGACAGGUUGUGAAGCGAUACGGACCAAUGGAUGACCCAAGUGUUGUUGAAAAGGAUCUGCCAAAAUACUUGUAGCCAAUGUGGAUAAUCUCACCAUCCUGACUUGCUGACUCGCUGCCUACGCUCCUGUAGCCUGCUGGGUAUUUUCAGGUCUUUUCCCUAAAUAAUGACGGCCUAUCUGUAAACCUGCCUGCAGGUAGGACUGGCCCGAUGACCCCUUGGUGUGCAAAACCUCCUCUGGGAAGCCUGCAUAUACCUAGCUAUUGCUGCAGAGUGAAGACUUACUGACUCAACCCUGCACUGACUGAUGGCAUUCAUCAUUUACUGAUGAUAACUAAUAAUAAUAUAAUAAUAAAACAUGAAGAAAUUCACUGUGGGUGUGAUUUGAUGUGUUUUUUUUCCCCCUGUUUGUUUUAUAGUUUUCUUCUGGUUGAAGGCUUCAGAUUAUUAACCCUAAAAAUCUAUUUAGGAUCAGAUAAGAAAUUGUUUAUAUACUUUCUCAUUAUUGUCAGUGUUACACUGGAGAGUUAAAGAAGCCAUUUGUAUCUUUAGGGUCCUCUGCUAUCCACAAAGCUAACUGCUUUUAAAGUCUCCAUUCCGUCUGUUAAAGCAACAUGCCUCAUUGUCUUUAAAGGAAAAGUAGUGGCACCAUCCAGUUCUGUUUUGAAUGUCGACUAGGGCUGAUUUCUGGCCCUGAAAAAUAUCUCAAAUCAGACAUUUUCCACCCUUUGAAUUCCACUUUAAAAAAAAAAAAAAAAAAAAAAAAGAUAUUCUUUAAAUUUAUAUCAUUACAGCUCUG